This is a long non-coding RNA of Gasterosteus aculeatus aculeatus (three-spined stickleback), 613 nucleotides long. Lineage: Eukaryota; Metazoa; Chordata; Actinopteri; Perciformes; Gasterosteidae. The record is from Ensembl.
AACACGGGACAUCUGCGAUGAUCCGCCAACAUCCCUCGAACACGGAACUCGCUGUCACGCUUCAAGAAGAAUAUGGCUUUUCCUCGGUGUCGUUUUAGCUUCGACGCCUCAGCUCCUGCUGUCAGGGUUAAAGCACACACUGUUACACUACCCAGUAUUUUUUAUUUUUUAAAGAAAAGAGAAGUCUCACCAUACUGAUACCUGUCAAAUUCCCUUCAGUGCAUCCAGAAUGUCUGCAGUGGAGAAGCUGUGAACACGUCGGGUCCCCCCCCCCCCAGCAAUCUGAGCCCAGCAGUUUUACCUUGCUCGACUGUGUGCGGAGCUACGGAGGAGGAAAAGCUGACACGGUGGCUACACCGAGGUGCUGAUAGUGAAAUCCCAUUAGCUGCCCUCCCACUGACGCCCAACUGACAUCAAUGGGACGAGCCAAAGCAGUUUCAGCCAAGACGGAGGUGGAAGAGGGAACGAAAAGAGCCGUCAAAGAACGAGCCGCGGGAAAGCGAGCGAACCAUUAAAAGAAGAGGAGGAGAAGGGGAAUGCCAGCUCCUACGUGGCCACCAAUUUAGAAUGGUUUCUGGUCAGGGGAAGUGGCAGGAGUGGAUGCCCAAAUUAG